RNAcentral lists this ribosomal RNA (253 nucleotides) under uncultured bacterium. Its description in RNAcentral is "partial 16S ribosomal RNA". It matches the Rfam family "Bacterial small subunit ribosomal RNA", at positions 524 to 776 of the family's 1533-position model. The record is from RNAcentral.
UACGAAGGGGGCUAGCGUUGCUCGGAAUUACUGGGCGUAAAGGGCGCGUAGGCGGACAGUUUAGUCAGAGGUAAAAGCCCAGGGCUCAACCUUGGAACUGCCUUUGAUACUGACUGUCCUGAGUUCGGGAGAGGUGAGUGGAAUGCCGAGUGUAGAGGUGAAAUUCGUAGAUAUUCGGCGGAACACCAGUGGCGAAGGCGACUCACUGGCCCGAUACUGACGCUGAGGCGCGAAAGCGUGGGGAGCAAACAGG